RNAcentral lists this ribosomal RNA (491 nucleotides) under uncultured bacterium. Its description in RNAcentral is "partial 16S ribosomal RNA". It matches the Rfam family "Bacterial small subunit ribosomal RNA", at positions 29 to 507 of the family's 1533-position model. The record is from RNAcentral.
AGUGAACGCUGGCGGUAGGCCUAACACAUGCAAGUCGAACGGCAGCACAGUAAGAGCUUGCUCUUACGGGUGGCGAGUGGCGGACGGGUGAGGAAUACAUCGGAAUCUACUUUUUCGUGGGGAUAACGUAGGGAAACUUACGCUAAUACCGCAUACGACCUACGGGUGAAAGCAGGGGAUCUUCGGACCUUGCGCGAUUGAAUGAGCCGAUGUCGGAUUAGCUAGUUGGCGGGGUAAAGGCCCACCAAGGCGACGAUCCGUAGCUGGUCUGAGAGGAUGAUCAGCCACACUGGAACUGAGACACGGUCCAGACUCCUACGGGAGGCAGCAGUGGGGAAUAUUGGACAAUGGGCGCAAGCCUGAUCCAGCCAUACCGCGUGGGUGAAGAAGGCCUUCGGGUUGUAAAGCCCUUUUGUUGGGAAAGAAAAGCAGCAGGUUAAUACCCCGCCGUUCUGACGGUACCCAAAGAAUAAGCACCGGCUAACUUCGUG